AUUUUUUAUUUUUAACCUAACCGCUACCGCCCGCAACCGCAAACGCUUGCGGGAAGGAGCUUUUGAAAACUGGCGAUUUCGAGCGGUCCAAAGCGAUAUCUAGCGAUUUCUAUGAUUGGUUCCAAUCGCUAACAACCGCUACCAAUCGUAAACGCUGCGUUUGCGGGUGGUAACGUCCUGCCAAACCUGUCCCGCCAACCCGUUCCGUAAAAAAAGCAAUUUAUUUUAUUAAUGUUGAUUUUAUUUAUGAUAUGUUUAUGAAUUAUUGUCUAAAUAUUUUGUAAUUUUGUAU
Molecule: small RNA, 292 nt
Filed under: Arabidopsis thaliana (thale cress)
Lineage: Eukaryota; Viridiplantae; Streptophyta; Magnoliopsida; Brassicales; Brassicaceae
Description: ATSL277890
Source: RNAcentral